AUACCGAUUCCUUUCCAUAAUACUCUCGUCAUUAAAACUGAACACUGAACCAAAGGAUAUAAUCACAAUCACCCGCGAAACAGAUGCACAGAAUACACGAAAGCGCGCCAAAAUGCAAAAUAUGCUCAUAGGAGGCGGCCGGCGGAGUUGACCUACAGUCUUAACGCACACAACAAUCCUGGGCGAAGCACAGGGAUUCUUCUUUUCUUCUCUUGAAUUGUGCAGCAAAGGAAUCCGCGCCUCUGAUGGCUUCUCCGAGGAGUGGUCCGGCGAACCAGGAGGGUGCCGAUCAAUCUGACGCAUCAAAAGUAGUAAAUCUCACUUAGUUCUUCAAGGUCAAAUUCUCUAAUUUCUUUGUUUUGAACCAUUGCAGGAACACAGCCCUCAAUGCAAACAAAUAUGAUUGUCAAAAAGAUUGGCUUACCAUGCACCCUUGUGGAACUUGUACAACAAAGCGUGGCCAGAAUCUACAGAUCCAAACAGCGACAGAAAAUUAGUUUAUUCUGCAUUUAGAAAAACAAAGCAGUACCAUGUACAGUACCCCUAAUUCACAUUUAAUUGAAUGUGCGGACAUUCUUGUAGCAUCUCUGAUUUCAGUUCAUGGAAAGCAUCCACUACAGUUUUUGUAUUCAGUGCAUAUAGUUCCUGGGAAGUAUUAACUAAAUCGAAUCUUAAUUGAUAUAUGAUCUGCAGGAAACCGCAGUAGAUCACACCGAUGAAAGGGUACCAAAGCUUGGCAUGCAAUUUUUAUCUGAAGAGGAAGCGUAUUUAUUUUAUAACAACUAUGCUAAAGCUAUUGGUUUUAGCAUCAGAAGAAGCAGUGGUCAUAAAGUACCAAACUCUUCUACACUGCAGCAACGGACAUUUACAUGCUCUCGUCAAGGUAUGGAUUACUUUUAAUUUGUUUUGAUUGUAAUCACUACUUUAUGCUCUAAGACAAUUAUACUACAACUUAUAGGCCAUCGUCGGGAAGAUAAAAGAGAGGAGACAUUCAUUUACAGUAGGCCUGAAACACGAUGUGGCUGUGAUGCCCGUAUGAAGAUUAGCCUUAGAAAUGGAGUUUAUUAUGUGUAUGAAUUCGAGGGGGCACAUAAUCACAAUCUUGCUCAUGGAAUCAUGGCCCAAUACCUGAGAUCCCAGAGAAAAGUGACAGAAGCACAGAUAGCAAAUGCAGAGAUCGCAAAGUCAGUAGGUAUCUCAAAUAAAGCAACAAUCGAUUUGAUGGCCAAAGAAGCAUGUGGGAGUGAAAACCUUGGGUUUAUACCUCAAGAUAUGAAAAACCGUUUGUACUCAAAGAGAACAAUAAAAGCGAAGGUAGGUGACACCGGGGGAGUAUUAGAAUACAUGGAGAAAAAGGUCUCGGAAGAUGUCAACUUUUUCUAUUCAAUUCAAGUGGAUGAGGAUGAAUUGAUAACUAAUAUUUUUUGGGCUGACUCCAAAAUGGUUUCAGACUAUGCGUUAUUCGGCAAUGUUAUAUGCUUUGACACCACAUACAGGAAACUAGAUGAUGGACGUCCAUUUGGUUUGAUUGUCGGGGUGAAUAAUCAUCAGAAAACUGUUGUCUUUGGUGCUGCAUUUCUCUAUGAUGAAACCGCUGCAAGUUUUGGUUGGCUUUUCAGAACUUUCCUAAAAGUUAUGUCAGGAAAACAUCCACGUACAGUUCUCACCGAUGAAGAUGCGGCAAUGGCAAAGGCAAUUCGUGAAGUCUUCCCUCACUCUCACGGUAGACUUUGCGUGUGGCAUAUGAAUCAAAAUGCUUGCAAGCACCUGGCCGGAGUUGUUGACGAAGAAGUUCAAUGCUGAUUUUCAGCACUGUAUAUAUGAUAUAAAAGAGGAGGAUGAAUUUGUAGGUGCAUGGGAUAAAAUGAUUGACAAGUAUGGACUAUGUGACAAUGAAUGGCUGCAAAGGCUAUUUGAGAAAAAGGAACAGUGGGCACUAGUGUAUGGUAAAAAUACGUUCGUUGCCCACAUGAGCACUACCCAAAGAAGUGAAAGCAUGAACAAUGAACUAAAGAGAUACAUUAGUAUUAAAUAUGACAUGCUUACUUUCUUUGAGCAUUUUGAACGGCUAGUUUUGGAUAAAAGAUGUGAAGAGGUGAAGUAUGACUUUAAAGCAACACAGACUACUCCCAAGUUGAAGGCUGAAUCUAGCUAUAUGUUAACACAAGCUGCAGCUACAUAUACUCCAGCAAUAUUCAAGAUGGUUCAAGAUCAAGUGCUUCGGACUCUGAACUAUGACACAUUGCUUUGUGAUGAAAGUGACACCAAGAUGAAGAUUUAUGUAGUAAAAUUUCAUGGCACACAACGUGAACAUGUUGUUAGAUUCACACCAAAAGAAGAAAAGGUUAGCCGCAGCUGCAAAAAGCUUGAGUUUGCUAGAAUCCUUUGCUCUCAUUGCCUAAAGGUACUUGAUAUCAAUAAUAUCAAGCAUAUUCCAGGAGAAUAUAUUUUAAAACGGUGGACAAUUGAUGCCAAAGUUCUAGAUAUAACAAGCAAAUGCAACCCGCAUGAGAACCUAAAAGCAAGAAUGUCUAAUCGCUAUAAGGAAUUGUGUAGAAUGUUUGUGAAAAUAGCUGCUCGUGCAGCUGAGUCAGAAGAAUCAUACAAUAAGGUUGUUAAGUGUGCAGAGCAAUUAGCACAAGAUGUGGAAAAAUGGUUGAAGAUUAGAGUUGAUCUAGAUUUGGUUAGCAUUGAUCUAGAUUUGGAUAACUCAUGUACUAAAGAAGGUACAAACUAUACUAACAAUAAUUGCCUAGACUAUUGUAAAACAAAGUAUGAUAUUUAUCAUUAUAGUGGCAGGUGUGAAUAUACCAUCUAGUAGGAUUUCAAAACAUGGUGAGGGGCUUGCAAAACCAAAAGGUAUGAAGGUCAAGGAGAAGACCGUCAAAGGAUCAAAAAGACCCGUUGGCAGAUUUGAGAAAGCAACUUCAAAAAAGAAAAAGAACACAGAUGAUAGUGUACAACAAGAGACUCAUGGCCCGUCAAUGGUAUCAUACUUCGUCUCAUUGUGGCUUAUAAAACAUUCAAUUGUACUAGCCUUUCUCUAUCAAAUUUUACAGGCCCUUUGGAGAAACAGACUUUGAAAAAGAAAAAGAACAAUAAUGAUACUGUACAACUACAACCUCAUGGCCCCUCAACGGUACAACAUUGUCACUUGUUUCUUUUAAAAUCUUCAACUGUAAUGACCUUUCUCUAUCAAUUUCAACAGGGUCCUUUAGAAUUUUUCGGGAACCAAAUGGGUGCAUAUCAAUUACCCUACAACACUAUCGUAAAUGCUUCAAUGCAACCAUCAGUUGGUAACAUCCCGAUGCCACCACAGACCCACCAACUGUUGAUGGGAUUCCAACCAUACAACACAACAGUGGUAGAAGCAAUCCACACUUUCAAGUUUUCAUUUUUUUUCAAACUUCAUUGAAAAUGAACUUUGCUACUUUGUGCAUAGUGUCAUCCCACAAACCACAUGUACGCCUAUUUACAGCAGCAGAACUCUGCUCUGAAUCCCUCCCUGCACGAGACCAUUUGGGAAAAUCAAAGCUUCUUUCUUCAACCAAAUCAACAUCUAUCCUAAAUGGUACAAUGCAGCCAUCAAUUGGUCAAACCAUGUCAGUGCCACCACAAAGACAAGAACAACAAAAUACUCUACUGGUAUAACAUUCCACCCUUUCUACUUUUCCAAUUUUGUAAACUUCAAUGAAACUGAACUUUGCUACUUUGUGCACAGGAUUAUCGGACAAACCACACGUACACCUAUCUACAACAGCAUAACUUGGCUCUGGAUCCCUCUUUGACAGAGAAUAUUGGAGCCUCUAAAUAUAGUUCGAUGACAUGACAAAAUCAAGGCUUACUUCUUGAACCGAAGGCGACAUCUAUUAUAAAUGCUACAACACAACCAUCAGUUGGUCACACCACCCUGAUGCCACAGACCCAAGACCCACACAAUACUCAAGGGGCCAAUAGCUCCUGUGCGACGUUUUUGAUGUGAAUUUGCUUGAGUGCGACGUUGUUCGAGUGAUUGGCUGUGAUGCGACACACUUGAGCGUGUAAAUAGCUCCAAUGCGACAUGGCUCUGUUUAACCGUGAAAUAAAAAACACGAGGGUUAGAGAUUUGAGUUAUGACACGCGGGACCCACCAGUUACUCGCAUGCGGAUGGGACCCACAACUUAUCCACACAAGCAUGCCCGUGCUCAUUAGCGUGCCCCGGCCCGAGCCAGCCCCAUGCCAGUAUCCUGCCCCUCCAUUGCUUACCCUGCCCCUUUCCUUUCCCACCUUCUUCUUCCUCUACUCCGGCAACGAAGCGCGCCGCCGGCGAGUGAUGUCUAGCUCGACUUCAGCCACCCGCCAAUCAUGGACGCAAUAUGGUCCAUUGUCGUUGACAAGAUGCCCCGAUUGCCCGCGCAUGGAGCCUCUCAAGCGUUUGACUUGUGUGAGGGAAGAAAAUGGCAACCGUGGGCGCGAGUUUGUGAAAUGUUUGAGCAAGCCACAGCCGGGGCAGGUUAGAUCUGUGGUCUUGACCAAUUCUAUGGUCUAAUUUGUCCCAAUUUAUUUCUCUUUCCCUCGAAUUAGGGCGGUGGAUCUGGGUGGUGGAUCUAGGAUUCAUGCGCCGCCGGCCCCCUGUUUUCAGGUUUUGAAGAAAUGUGGGCAUUUUGAGUGGCUCGGUGAAUAUGUUGAAAGGUUGAAAUUGGAGGGAUCAACCCCAACCCAAGAGCUCAAUUUUGGGGGGCGGCUUGCCGUGGAACAAGCCCCCAAUUUGGCGGACAGAGCCGAUCCGAUGAUGCACAGUGCAGAACUGAAGUGUGAAUUGAAGAAAACCGGCAAGCAACUAAAGCAUCUGAUCGAUUUGAAGCAGCAAGCAAAUAAGAUGGCGGGAGCAUUUUAUGGUUGUGUCAUUGCUUUGGGUUUAUUUUACUUGAUGUUCAUCAAUCGCUAGAAUUUGUUAUAGUUUCAGUUAGUUAGUCAGCUAGUUUCAGGGGUGCCCAGUAGUCUAAGUUAGCCAGGGAUCAUUUGUUAGAUGAACUUGAAUUCGUGUGAAGCAAAACUUGCUUGAAUUAUUGUACUGAUAUUCUCAGGGGCCCUAUUCAGUGUUCAUGCUCUGUUUCCUCUGUUUUUGUUCUUCAGUUAACAGAGUACACACAAAUUCAGUUUCUAGUAAAAAAACAAAACUGGGCUGCCGAAUAGAUGUUGGGCCAUGAGAAAAUGGGCCCUAAGAAAAUAACCAUGCCCAAAAUAGAGACCAGCCCGCCCGCGCAGGGGCACCAGCCCACCCGCGUAGCGGCACCAGCCCACCUCUAACUUCGGCAAAUAAAAUGUUACUUGUUUUUACCUUGGCCUUUUUCUUGCACUAAAUUUUGUGAUGGAUCAUUUUUUGAUGCAAUAAAACCAAAUGUUAAUUGUUUUUAUGCAUGUCUACGGUUCCAUGAACUAAAUGAGUUGCAUGAAGUAAAUUAGUUUGCAUUUCCUAGUGGCAUGUCCAUAGUGGGUUUGCAUGGGGCUCCUAGUUGCAUGGGGCUUGCAUGUCCAUGGUUUGGCCAAUAUUUUGAAGAUGGUGUGUGUGUGGUGAGAUUGAGGUGUAGCAACCCGGGCUCGUAGAAACCCAUAGCAAUACACAAAUGAUAAGCAAGAACAACCCAUAGCAAUCUUCAAAUAAUAGCACGAAACACACAAUAUAUAUAGUAGCAUAAUGAUUGCAACCCAUAGUUCCACGAUAACCUUACAACUCCAUGAUAGCCUUACAACUUAAAAUACUAAUACAACUUAAUAAUAGUAGCAUAACAAUUACUACUUAAAAAAACUAAUACGAUAAGCUAGAUAGAUCGGGGGGCACCAAACGCGGGUUCUUCUUUGGGCUCUUCUUCUCCUCCUCCUCCGGGGGAACAACGCCACCUCGCUCCUCCGGGCGCCGUCCUUCACUCCUCCCCGUUGUUGAUGGGGUACGGGAGCGUGUGCAUAACGCCGUUGUUGGGGAAGAUGCUCUGGAAGUCGGUGAAGAUAUUGUAGGUGGUGAAAGCUAUGAACUCACAACCAACCCAAUACGCUCGCCCGAGGAGAUGGAAAGCAUCGAAAGGGUUAGUGAACGUGGCGAGGAGCCCAACCACAACGCUGUUGUGGUUGACCUCCUCAACAUGGUACAUCCGAGGAGAGCCGCGGGGGAGGUGGCGGAAGCCGGCCGCAAGGAAGAACUCAGUUAACUCCCUUGCGCCCCUCCACCUCGAGAUCGCCCAAACCCUAAGGGUUCUCUCUACAUACACUCCGGCCGGGUAGAGCCUUUCCGGCAUGGUUGGGGGGAAGCGGUAGGUGGGGGCGGUGUACUGCNNNNNNNNNNNNNNNNNNNNNNNNNNNNNNNNNNNNNNNNNNNNNNNNNNNNNNNNNNNNNNNNNNNNNNNNNNNNNNNNNNNNNNNNNNNNNNNNNNNNNNNNNNNNNNNNNNNNNNNNNNNNNNNNNNNNNNNNNNNNNNNNNNNNNNNNNNNNNNNNNNNNNNNNNNNNNNNNNNNNNNNNNNNNNNNNNNNNNNNNNNNNNNNNNNNNNNNNNNNNNNNNNNNNNNNNNNNNNNNNNNNNNNNNNNNNNNNNNNNNNNNNNNNNNNNNNNNNNNNNNNNNNNNNNNNNNNNNNNNNNNNNNNNNNNNNNNNNNNNNNNNNNNNNNNNNNNNNNNNNGCAGAGGAUGGGGUAUGAUGGAUGAGGAGGGAGAGGACGAUAGUGCCCGGCUUAAAUAGCCCAAGUGCGACGUGGUUUCACCCCGUCGAAACCCUAGAAUUAAUGGGGGGUUAAUGGGCGGGCAGCGUUUGGUGGCGCCCCAUGAAAGUGUGUACACGAGCGUGGCCGUGGGAAACGGACUGCGACGCUUCUGUGCCAACGGUCGCGGGUCAAGGGGGACGGGCUCACGCACGCGUCUGUGCCGUCGUGGGUCAAGGGGACACGCCAUCCCCGGGUUCUCUGCGUGUGCCGCCCGUGCAUGCAUGCCGUUGCCCAUUAAUUUGCUCAUCUUGCUAGGGCCUGGCUAGAGGGCAAGGUUCGGUCGAUGGGAGACGUGACAAUAAUGGACGCCUUCUUUUGCCCAUCUUGUAACGGGCAGCACGCCAUUUGAACUGCAUCGAUACCCACAUCGAUACCCCAUGCCAGUAUUGCAUCCUCAAAGAGGAGCACGCCAUGCACAGCGUGCACACCACGCCAUGCAGCGUUGGCUUUUUGGUUGUCUUCAUCAGGCUGCUGCAUUGUGGCCGGGUGCAUGCUUUGAUGCGACGCUGCAUCGGUUCUAAUGGUAGGCAUGCGACAGCUUACUGCGUUGAUAGGGGUGGCGGAGCAGGGCUACGUCGAGGCAUGCAUGCAACGCACGGGCGCAGUCCUGCGGGUGGGCAUGCAUGCUGCGGGUAGGCACGGGCACGCAUGCAACGAUGGAAAGGGCACUGCGUAGGCUUGGUCCAUGCACCGCGUCAUCUCUUGCCGUUGGAUUCAAAUGAACGGUCCUGAUGCUCCAACAAGAGAGGCUGAUCCAAACCCCACCGCGUCAACCAAUCAGUGCGUCUCAUGCGGAUCACUGCACACUGUAGCUAACCCUAGCGCCUGAUCUCAACCGUCCACGCACAAUGAUCAACGACCAGGUAGUGUGCGGGGUUUUGAGGGGUUUUGAGAGGGGUUUUGAGGGGUUUUGAGAGGUUUUGACUGAUUAGCGUUGAGCAUAACUAAUUCAAAAAAAAAUCAAAAAAAUAUAAAACUUGCGCACUUAGUCUUAUUAUGUCGUAUUGUAACGAGAAAAAAAAUAUAAAUAUGGUUUACAUACAUUUUUACGAAAAAUCCUUCACAAAAUUGUCAUUCCUCAAACAAUGUAGUAUGGAGUUCAAGGGAGAGAGUAGUGGGCACCCGAGAGUAGGUGGAGUUUUGAAAAUGAAAAGUGUGAAAACCUCACCAAAACUUCAUUUUGGAUUGACUAAGAAAGAUCUGAACUUACUUUUCUCAUUUUCAUGUUUUAAACUUGUUUUAUAUAUAAUUUUCUAUUAAACCUUGUUUUUUCAAAAAGAAAUGAAAAAAAAAGAAAAUUAAUUCAAUAAAUAGUGAGACUUUAGAUUUACACUAUAUAGGUAGAAUAGAUGUGUAGAAAAAUUAUUUGGCUGGUUUAGACAAGGUGCCAAAAAAACUUGCUUAAAUAUGAGGCCUUUUACCCUACCUUUGGAGGUCAUUUGAAACACACUUUUCAUGACUAUGAGUUCAACGGGCAGUUCAACUUACCAAAAGGGCUUGGAAUGAUCAGCAAGCAAACAUAUUUCAGUUGAGGUACUUUAGAUAGCACUAAAACAUCAAUAGCCCAAAUUUAAAUUUAAAUUUAAAUUUUAUUUGGCUGGUUUAGACAAACAAGUUCGAAUAGAAAUAUGGGGAUACAUAGUGACUACAAGUACGCACCAAGUUACAAAUAUUAUUACAUGCCCCAAAUUUUCAAACUGUUCUCUAUUCUACUUCUUCCUACCACGUCGUGUGCCCUUCUUCGCCUUAGCCCUUCUUAUUUUUGGUUCUACUACACACACAAGUUCACUGAUCAUCUUGGUUUUCUUCACUGGUCUUUUCAACACCUCGCCAAUACCCUCGUGAUCAGUGUCUUUAGUCUCAAUGUUGACACCAGUUUCAGUUUCUUUGGUGUGUACCUCAACAUGGGUUUCUUCAGUCUGAACCUCGACACGCUCAGGUUCAGUUUCUUCAGUCUGAACCUCGACACGCUCAAGUUCAGUUUCUUCGGUGUGCACCUCCACAUCAGUUUCUUCAGUCUGAAUGUUGACUGCAUCAUGAUUUUGUUCAGUCUGCUCAGGCUCAGGCACACUUCUCUUCUUUCUACCGCCAUUGACUCUUGCUUUUUUUGUUGGCCAACACUGUUCAACAACAAGGGGCUGACUUGCUCGCUUCCUCCUGUGCAGAAAAUGUUAUAGAUAUAGUAAUUGGAAAAAAGCACCAAAUCAAAACAAAGACAAAUAAACAAGAACAUACUUUGGCUUAUCAGGAGUGUAACGGCAUUUGACAGAUCCCACUCUGUGCCCAAGUUCCUGGCACAACUUGCAUCUGUUUUUGUUACCUUUUUGGGCCCUUUUUGGCUUUUCAUCUUUCUUUCCCUUCUUACUACUCCCACCUUUCUCAAACCAUGCCUUGAAUCUACUCUGUUUAGGCCUGCCAGCCUUUCUUUUCGUCAAGGGAGGACACAUGGAAAAUUCAAUUUCCACUUCAGGCCACUGAGACUGAUCUGUAAGUGCCGGAAUUGGAGUAGCAUAUGCAGCUUUGAAUCUUGCUACCGAAUAAUAUUCAUGCAGAUAUGGGUGCAUGUUUAUCUUCGGUUGGGAUGCUAAGAAAAGAAUGGCAUGCUCACAUGGUUUACCAGUGUGUUGCCACUCGAGGCAAGUGCAAUCAUGCAAUUCAGUGUUAACAACAUGUAUCCUUCCAGUUUUGUUAUCUCUAACUUCAGCACCCCAAGGUGAAGAUUUUUCAACAAACAAAUGUGAAAGACUUCUGCUCCUAUUGACCACCUGUUGUACCACUGCUGGAAGCUUAUCACCUUGCAGACAAUCACCUAUCCUUCUUCUCAAUUCCCACAACCGCAUGAGCAUGAUCCUGAUUUGGUCAACCAUGGCAUGCACAGGCAAAUCUUUUAACUCCUUCACCUUGUUGUUGAAACUCUCUGCCAAAUUGUUGUUGAUGUGGUCACACUUGAUGGCAGUGUUGAAUGCUGACCUGUACCAUAACAAAGAAUGGUAGGUGUUCAUCCAUGGACCAAACUCAUCACAUGCUGCCAUUAUCUUAUCAAGAUGAUAUUUGUGUGUCUGUCUAGUGUAAGAUCUUGCUACUGGUCACAUGCGCCCAAAUUCUUCUCCUCUAAAUUUUUUGAUCAAAUUCAUCCACAAAUGACCGAAGCACUCCCUCUACUCAGCAUGUGGGAAAACAUUUUUCACUGAAUUUUCAAGCCCCUUACAUGCAUCUGUGUGUAUAGCCAAAGGUGACACUGGCCCUAGGCAUCUUUUCAACUGGAUCAUGAACCAUGUCCAUGAAGCCUCGGUUUAUGACUGAAACAAGCCAACAGCAAUAGGAAACAUCCAGUUGUGUCCAUCUAGAGCAUUGCAUGCUGCCAACUGACCAUUCCACUUGCCUGUCAAAAAUGAUGAGUCUAUGCUCAAAUAUGGAUGGCACCCUGCUUUGAAGCCAUCUAUGCAAGGCUUCAAAGCCAUAAAAAACUUGGAGAACUUGACUUCACCUUUGGGUGAUACCUCUGUAUCUAUCUCCACAACACUACCAGGUGACCUCUUUUCCACCUCUGCUUUGAAGUUGUAAAGCAUCCUAAAUGUAUUUGCCCAAUCGCCAUAUAAAUUUUUCAUUGUCCUUUGUUUUGCCUUCCACACUGUGGUAUAUUUCAGUUUAAUGGGGUACAUCUUUUCCAUGUCUACUUUGAGUUUCUGGGCAGUAGUGUUUGGUGUUUUGGCUAAAAUUGGGGUGAUCUUUUCUGCAACCCAAAGUUGUGAUGUCAUGGUUGAUACUCUCUGUGAACUUGUAAUACAAGUAUGUUGAUUGGGGAUUUGGUUAACCCUGACAGUACUUCCAUCAGGUUGCAGUCUAACAGAUAUAUACCACUUGCAAGGCUUGACACUACCAUCUAAUCCUCUGCACCUCGCAUAAAACUUCUUCCUAUCAGUCCAAACAGUCUUGGCAUCAAACUCAUGUUUCACUGCGUAAGUCUUGAAACACAUCCUAAACUCCUUCAUGCUUGGGAACAACUUGCCUACUUCAAUGACAGGGUUUUCUUUGUCAUACAUCAUCAUGUGCAUCAUCUACUUCAUCUGCAGCUUGUUCCAUCAAUUGUCCAUCUACAUCUUCAUCAACAUUAGCAGGCAAACUAGAUUCUCCCCUCUCCUGCUUAUCUCUGUCAUCGACUGGAAUGCCAAAAAGUUUGGCCAUCUCAAUGUCAGGCAUUGGUGCAAUGACCAAAUCAGUAGGCUCAUCUAAUUCAACUACAUUCCAAUCAACAGUUGCUGCAGUUUCAGUUUCAGUUCCAAUCACCUGUCCCUCUUCGGCUAUUACUGUAAGUUCAGUACACAUGGGAAUCAAUGGCCUUUGUGUAGCCCAAUCAUCAUCUACCAUCUGCGCAGCCAAUUGUGAUGACACAUAUCCAACCUUCGAAAAAAUAUUCAGAUCAACCAGCUCAGCAAAAAAAUUAGCUCGUUUGCUUGUCCAGCCGUUUUGCCGAUCGAUUUCUUCAACAAUCUGUUCACCAUCUUCCAUUCUCACAUACUCUCCUUUCCAAUCAUCAAACCGCAACAGUGAUACUUCUUGCUCUGGACCCCAAACAACAUUCUCCCCAAUUUUUUCCACCCAUUUCUUCACUGCCUUCUCUCCCAUGUUCUGUAGAACUUGUGGAUCAAUCUCUGUAAACUCAACCUCCCAUUUAACAAUUGUGUCUCUCUCAAUGUUCUGAAUGCUACCAUCAACUAAUUUUGCCUUUUAUGGAAAGAAAUUGACCGUCAAUUCGAAGGUCCGAGCGGCAGCAUCCCCUCUGUCAGUGGCGGACAGUGUGAGCCCGUGAGAAAGAGCAGACUAGGCCCUAAUUGCAUGCAAAAUUGGAUCAGAGAGACGAGCAUUACCUAUUCGAAGUUGAAUCUGGCGGCUCCAUCUCAGUAUGCCCAUGGGCUCCCCUCACAACCUAUCGAUUCAACAAGCGAAAACAUAGGAAACGAGCUGAGAUCUACGGGGCCGAGAGAGGAACGGGAGGGGGACUAGUGUUCUCACUCACCAUUUUUUGAGGACGAAGGCUCGGCCGCCGUUGAGAACGAGGGCUCCGCCGCCGCCGUUGAGAACGCAAGAUCCGCCGCCACCGGAGAAGAAGGGGGAGGGGGCAGAGUGGUGGGCCCAGCACGGUCGGGCGGCAGGGCACGGUCAGCUGUUUUGAGGAGCAAUUAAGUUGGACCCACAUGUCCUAACAUAAACGGGCUUGCUUGAUGACCAGUUUAACCACAUUUAACACCCCAUGUGGCCCUGGGCUAUUUACCUGCUCAAAUGUGUUGCACCACAGCCAUUCACUCGAACAACGUCGCACUCAAGCAAAUUCACAUCAAAAACGUCGCACAGGAGCUAUUGGCCCAUACUCAAGUGGUAUAACAUUCCAUACUUUCAAGUUUUCCAAUUUCUGAACUUCAAUGAAACUGAAAUUGCUAAUUUUUUGCCCAGGGUCAUGCGAUAAAUCACAUGUAUUUAUAGCAGCAACACUUAGCGCAGAAUCCCUCAGUGCAAAGUGCAAAGGAUCAUUGGAACCUCUACCUCUAGUAUGAUGACAGGACAAAAUCAAGCUUCCCUCAAUAAACUGAAGCCAGCAUGAUCUAUUUUGUUGUCGCGUGUUUUAUCUCAUGUGUUUUUUGACCUCCAAGUUGCAAAUAAUUUUUAUUAGAACUUAUACGUACCAUCAACUGAAUGCUACUACAUCUUCCCAAUCAAAUAUACUAGUUCACAGAUAUUUUUUUAAUGCAAUGGUACUAAUUCAUAGAAUUAGCUAUGAAGAAUUUUCCACAAGCAGUGUGCACAUAUGAGCCUCUAAGCUAUCCUUCUCUUAGUUUAAGUUACGAUGACAGGGAUCCCAAUGAUCCAUUUUAAUUCUGCGAAAUAUAUGUACACAGAACCAUCUAUCUAAAUGUCAUGCUAAGAGGCAUAGAGUGAACAGAGAACAGAUUGACAAUCGGUCUGAAUUUAGCAUGAAAAGAAUCUUAAUUUAACUGAAUGAAAGCAGAGUAAUGGAAUUGCUAUUAGCUUUCCUUCUCUGAAUUUAACACGCAUAAGAUGGGAAUGCCACAAGAAGAAGUGGAAAAUACCUAUGUUCAGCAGAGGUAAUGCUGUAUGUAUGAGCUGCAAU
RNAcentral lists this long non-coding RNA (12858 nucleotides) under Triticum aestivum (bread wheat). RNAcentral describes it as "long non-coding RNA (TAES_LNC003808)". The record is from RNAcentral. Lineage: Eukaryota; Viridiplantae; Streptophyta; Magnoliopsida; Poales; Poaceae.